GCCUCUGUAGCUUAAUGGAUAGAGUAGCGGUCUUCGGAACCGCUGGUAGGGGUUCGAUUCCUCUCAGAGGCACAA
RNAcentral lists this transfer RNA (75 nucleotides) under Candidatus Roizmanbacteria bacterium RIFCSPHIGHO2_01_FULL_37_16. RNAcentral describes it as "tRNA-Arg". It matches the Rfam family "tRNA". Rfam says of the family: Transfer RNA (tRNA) molecules are approximately 80 nucleotides in length. The record is from RNAcentral. Lineage: Bacteria; Candidatus Roizmaniibacteriota. RNAcentral also lists the same sequence under 2 other names.